Long non-coding RNA from Oncorhynchus masou masou (cherry salmon), 2767 nucleotides. RefSeq lists it as uncharacterized. Lineage: Eukaryota; Metazoa; Chordata; Actinopteri; Salmoniformes; Salmonidae. The record is from RefSeq and is a predicted model, not a curated record. The transcript is spliced from 4 exons.
UAUGGCCACUUCAAAAGUUCAGUUUGCUUAGUCAAACCAGUUGUCUUGGCCAGCAGAGAGAUUGUAAUACAAACCAGCAAAAAUACAAGCAAAUAUAUAUUUUUUGACAGACAUUGUAUUGUGAUGUCAGUGUUAUUUUAUGGUUGUAUGUAAUCAUUGCCAUGUUGUACAAGUACAAGUUUUGAACAAGAUGUCAACAUUGUCACCUGGACUGUGAAUAACCUUACUGAUUGGACAAUAGAACCUACAUACUACAUCACUCUUAUUGACAGCGAACAACCCUCAAAAGUACUUCCAGUCAUUCUCUACAAGACUCCAGACAGCGUCUCCAUCUCUGUUCUGAGACACACUGGUCCCAUGGUGGAGGGGACAAAGUACCAGCUGCAGUGUGACAUCCAGAACAUCGCUCCUCUACAGAACCUGGUUGUGAAGUGGUACAAAGGGAAUGAACCCUUAGAUAAUGUAACUUACAGUACUGUCAGUAAGACACCAGUGGAUGUGUCAGAUACUCUGAUGAUCAGCCCCUGUAGAGAUGAUGAUGGAGCUCAGUAUAGAUGUAGAGCAGAACUGGACCUGGGACCAGAGGGGCCACAACCCCAUCCUACAGUGACAUCAGAACCUCUCAGCAUUACUGUGCACUACCCCCCCAACCUUUUCCAGACCUGAAGCUGAGACCCUGGACAUCAGAGUGGGGGAGGAAAUCACUUUAAACUGCACAGCUACUGGAAAGCCCACUCCUCUGUACAGCUGGCAGUCUUCACAUGUCCAAGAAGCUCUUUUCACACCCCUCUCCAAGCUCCCAGGAACCUACACCUGCACUGCCUCCAGUCAGAUAGGCAAGAUCAGCAAGACUUUCACUGUGAAUCCCAAACCUAUAGGGGGCAGAACAACGUUCUGGGUCAUCAUAGGAUCGGGCCUGGGCCUGACCUUUGUGGUCGUGAUUGUCUAUGUCGUUGUCAAACAGAGAGCAGGUCCCAACUCCAUCAUCUGACCAGGCCAGAGGAAGAGAAUUUCUAUCGUCAAUGUGACCAGCAGGACUUCCUCAACAGACACUGUAUGAAUAAGAAUGGUUGUUUACUGAAUUAUUAUGAUGCAACGCUCCAAUCCAGCAUGGCUUAUAAAUCCAAAGAGUGCUUUCUAUUAGCCUACUCCAACCAAUAGCUUUGUGCCAUUUGUAUGUGGUGUUGUUUUGAAUGAGUCUUGGGCUGUGUCGGUGUGAACAUGUGGCGCGACACUACAAAGCAUUCAUUCACAGGUAUGUGUGUUCUGUUUUAUUAUCAAGCAUGUCUGAAUGUAGUCUCUCUUCUCACGGCCAUUGUGUCUCUGUCACGGAUGUUAAGCGGCUGGGAAAACAGGCUAGCCUGAUCGCUGUAGUCUGAUGACAGCAACAAGUGAUCUUACGUGACUCUACAAUGAGAAAUGAGCCAUGCAAUGCAUCACUUCCUAUCUAAUGCUUUUUUUCUUUCUUGUUGCUCUCAAUUGGUGCUACCAGAGCCUUUUAACCGAUUUAAGUUUACUGUUCCAAGAGCCACAGGAAGCUUCUCUUCACUAUUGCUAAUUUUGUUCUCUGCCCACACUCUUCCAUUUUAUCUCUCUCUUACCUUCACAGCACCCUUGAUUCUCAGUAUUGUCAGUAUGUUUGAUGAUAGCUUUAAUCGUUUGUCUUUCACUUUCUCAACCUAUAUCCGUGGACCAUAGGGAAGUGGACAUGCAUUCCGACAUGAACCCCAUGGACACAGUCUCAGGGCUGUGAGGAGAGAAAGGCCACUAAUGAGUUUUAUCUAUCUCAGGUAUUUUAAUAGGCUACACAGUCAUAUCUCACCAUAGGUGGCUCACAUGGUCCUUUAAGAAGUUGCUAAACUGUGUUAAGUAGAAACAAUUCCCUGAUGAUGAUUUUGUUACUUGCCAAUUCUUUCUGUUUUGACAAGAGUGCAGUGGCACAGUUCUUCAAUAGUUGUCUUUUUCUGUUGAAUCACAAUCCGAGAUUUGGGUUUAUUUUUUAUAAAAAAAUUUAAACCAAUUCAUGCUAGAUAUUUCAAGGUAUGUUUACAGUGUUAAGUGCAAAGUAUGUUCAGUUCACAUUGCACAGGGCUGGAAUAGCAUUGGUACAGUUGGAAAUGGUGCUUGUAAGUUGCACAGAACACUAGUUAAACUAGCUUUUUACAUGGUGAUGUUUGCGUAUUGUGUUGCUAACUAACUAUGUGUAUAUUGCCAUUUGAUUUCAGCACUGAAUGUUGUUAUAUGCCGUCUUUAACAGUCACUAACACUCAUUCUCUACUUUAUUUAGAUAUUUUUGUCAGCUUGCUUAUGUUUAUAUGACCUGUGAUGUGUGUGUUUCCAUCUGACUGCUCUUCUGUUCAGACAUUUAGUUCUCUCUUCGGAAUGUCAAUACUGUCAGGCUCAGCAUUGUGUCAGAGAUUCUGUUUCAGGAAGUGUUCUACUGCAACCUAUUUAGGUGAGAAUGAUGCUGUCUUUCAUUUCAAUAGUGCUGCAACAUUGGUUGAAAGUUUUGCAUCUACAAUGCAGGUGAUGCAUGCAUACACAGCAUUCACUGGCCAAACAUCAACCAGUUAUGCUCAGAGUUAAAGCUUUGAAAGAAUCAGUCUUUCACUGUGACAUGUUCCUCUACUGUCUUUUGUAUGCCAUUGGGAACCUUUCUCUCAUACAUCACUGUAACACUGACACCUCCAUACGAAUCAGUGCAAACUAAAGUCAAUUUAAAGAGAAGCAUGAAAGUCCCUCUGUUAUCCUGCCUACAGUGGCUCAU